Molecule: ribosomal RNA, 497 nt
Filed under: uncultured bacterium
Lineage: Bacteria
Description: partial 16S ribosomal RNA
Rfam family: Bacterial small subunit ribosomal RNA
Source: RNAcentral
GACGAACGCUGGCGGCGUGCCUAAUACAUGCAAGUUGAGCGCUGAAGGUUGGUACUUGUACCAACUGGAUGAGCAGCGAACGGGUGAGUAACGCGUGGGGAAUCUGCCUUUGAGCGGGGGACAACAUUUGGAAACGAAUGCUAAUACCGCAUAAAAACUUUAAACACAAGUUUUAAGUUUGAAAGAUGCAAUUGCAUCACUCAAAGAUGAUCCCGCGUUGUAUUAGCUAGUUGGUGAGGUAAAGGCUCACCAAGGCGAUGAUACAUAGCCGACCUGAGAGGGGGAUCGGCCACAUUGGGACUGAGACACGGCCCAAACUCCUACGGGAGGCAGCAGUAGGGAAGCUUCGGCAAUGGACGAAAGUCUGACCGAGCAACGCCGCGUGAGUGAAGAAGGUUUUCGGAUCGUAAAACUCUGUUGGUAGAGAAGAACGUUGGUGAGAGUGGAAAGCUCAUCAAGUGACGGUAACUACCCAGAAAGGGACGGCUAACUACGUG